UACGUAGGGGGCAAGCGUUGUCCGGAUUUAUUGGGCGUAAAGAGCGCGUAGGCGGUUUGGUAGGUCCGCUGUGAAAACUCGAGGCUCAACCUCGAGACGCCGGUGGAAACCAUCAGACUAGAGUCCGGAAGAGGAGAGUGGAAUUCCUGGUGUAGCGGUGAAAUGCGCAGAUAUCAGGAAGAACACCCGUGGCUAAGGCGGCUCUCUAGUACGGUACUGACGCUGAGACGCGAAAGCGUGGGGAGCGAACAGG
This 253-nucleotide ribosomal RNA is filed under the name uncultured bacterium. RNAcentral's name for it is "partial 16S ribosomal RNA". It matches the Rfam family "Bacterial small subunit ribosomal RNA", at positions 524 to 776 of the family's 1533-position model. The record is from RNAcentral.